GACGAACGCUGGCGGCGUGCUUAACACAUGCAAGUCGAACGGAAAGGCCCUGCUUUUGUGGGGUGCUCGAGUGGCGAACGGGUGAGUAACACGUGAGUAACCUGCCCUUGACUUUGGGAUAACUUCAGGAAACUGGGGCUAAUACCGGAUAGGAGCUCCUGCUGCAUGGUGGGGGUUGGAAAGUUUCGGCGGUUGGGGAUGGACUCGCGGCUUAUCAGCUUGUUGGUGGGGUAGUGGCUUACCAAGGCUUUGACGGGUAGCCGGCCUGAGAGGGUGACCGGCCACAUUGGGACUGAGAUACGGCCCAGACUCCUUCGGGAGGCAGCGGUGAGGAAUAUUGCACAAUGGGCGGAAGCCUGAUGCAGAAACGCCGCGUGCGGGAUAAAGGCCUUCGGAUUGUAAACCGCUUUCGCCUGUGACGAAGCGUGAGUGACGGUAAUGGGUAAAGAAGCCCCGGCUAACUACGUG
Molecule: ribosomal RNA, 468 nt
Filed under: uncultured bacterium
Lineage: Bacteria
Description: partial 16S ribosomal RNA
Rfam family: Bacterial small subunit ribosomal RNA
Source: RNAcentral